GCCGUCGUGGUGGAAUUGGUAUACACGUGCGCUUCAGGUGCGUAUGGGAGCAAUCCCGUGAGGGUUCGAGUCCCUCCGACGGCACCA
This 87-nucleotide transfer RNA is filed under the name Candidatus Doudnaibacteriota bacterium. Its description in RNAcentral is "Candidatus Doudnabacteria bacterium tRNA-Leu". It matches the Rfam family "tRNA". From Rfam's summary of the family: Transfer RNA (tRNA) molecules are approximately 80 nucleotides in length. Their secondary structure includes four short double-helical elements and three loops (D, anti-codon, and T loops). The record is from RNAcentral. Lineage: Bacteria; Candidatus Doudnaibacteriota.